RNAcentral lists this ribosomal RNA (253 nucleotides) under uncultured bacterium. Its description in RNAcentral is "partial 16S ribosomal RNA". It matches the Rfam family "Bacterial small subunit ribosomal RNA", at positions 524 to 776 of the family's 1533-position model. The record is from RNAcentral. RNAcentral also lists the same sequence under 2 other names.
UACGAAGGGGGCUAGCGUUGUUCGGAAUUACUGGGCGUAAAGCGCGCGUAGGCGGGUGACUAAGUCAGGGGUGAAAUGCCGAGGCUCAACCUCGGAACUGCCUUUGAUACUGGUCGCCUGGAGUUCGGGAGAGGUAAGUGGAAUUCCGAGUGUAGAGGUGAAAUUCGUAGAUAUUCGGAGGAACACCAGAAGCGAAGGCGGCUUACUGGCCCGAUACUGACGCUGAGGCGCGAAAGCGUGGGGAGCAAACAGG